RNAcentral lists this ribosomal RNA (426 nucleotides) under uncultured bacterium. RNAcentral's name for it is "bacterial SSU rRNA". It matches the Rfam family "Bacterial small subunit ribosomal RNA", at positions 917 to 1344 of the family's 1533-position model. The record is from RNAcentral.
GGGCCCGCACAAGCGGUGGAGUAUGUGGUUUAAUUCGAUGCAACGCGAAGAACCUUACCAGGGUUUGACAUCCUGCGAAUCUCUUGGAAACAGGAGAGUGCCUUCGGGAACGCAGUGACAGGUGGUGCAUGGCUGUCGUCAGCUCGUGUUGUGAGAUGUUGGGUUAAGUCCCGCAACGAGCGCAACCCCUAUCCUUAGUUGCCAGCAUUCAGUUGGGCACUCUAGAGAGACCGCCGGUGAUAAACCGGAGGAAGGUGUGGAUGACGUCAAGUCAUCAUGCCCCUUACAUCCUGGGCUACACACGUACUACAAUGCUACGGACAAAGGGCAGCAAACUCGCGAGAGCUAGCAAAUCCCAUAAACCGUGGCUCAGUUCAGAUCGUAGGCUGCAACUCGCCUACGUGAAGGAGGAAUCGCUAGUAAUCG